This 387-nucleotide ribosomal RNA is filed under the name uncultured bacterium. Its description in RNAcentral is "bacterial SSU rRNA". It matches the Rfam family "Bacterial small subunit ribosomal RNA", at positions 425 to 793 of the family's 1533-position model. The record is from RNAcentral.
GUAAAGCACUUUCAGUCGUGAGGAAGGUAGUGUAGUUAAUAGCUGCAUUAUUUGACGUUUAGCGACAGAAGAAAGCACCGGCUAACUCCGUGCCAGCAGCCGCGGUAAUACGGAGGGUGCGAGCGUUAAUCGGAAUUACUGGGCGUAAAGCGCAUGCAGGUGGUUUGUUAAGUCAGAUGUGAAAGACCCGGGGCGUCAACCUACGGAAUUGCAUUUAGUAAACUAGGCAGACUAGAGUACUGUAGAGGGGGGUAGGAAUUUCAGGUGUAGCGGUGAAAAUGCGUAGAGAUCUGAAGGAAUACCGGUGGCGAAGGCGGCCCCCUCGGACAGAUACUGACACUCAGAUGCGAAAGCGUGGGGAGCAAACAGGAUUAGAUACCCUGGUAG